CAAAGUUUUUGAUUCAAGCUUUCGAGCUUGGGUCUUCAACCCCUUGUGCAUUUGUUAUUUGAAAUCUGGGUGUUCUUUGUUUCGUUUUAAUCUUUCUUUUGAGAGGUUUUUCGAAAAACCACCCAAAAUCUUAUAAACUCUUGAUAAAUUGUCUGAUAUUAUGAAAAUAAUUAUAAA
This 177-nucleotide unclassified non-coding RNA is filed under the name uncultured fungus. Its description in RNAcentral is "sequence contains ITS1, 5.8S rRNA gene". Lineage: Eukaryota; Fungi. The record is from RNAcentral.